UAGGAACUUAGGCUAAACUUUAAACCGAGGGCCUUCAAAGCCCUAAAUAAGAGAUGUCCCUCUUAGUCCCUGC
This 73-nucleotide transfer RNA is filed under the name Diporiphora lalliae. RNAcentral describes it as "tRNA-Trp". Lineage: Eukaryota; Metazoa; Chordata; Lepidosauria; Squamata; Agamidae. The record is from RNAcentral.